AGAGGAAAGAAAUCAAAGUUGUUGUGUCACACAAAAAAUAACACAUAUUAUUCAAGCUCCUCCAUACCCAAGGGAGGUGAGGUGGGUCCUUUUGUCCUUUCUGAACAUUAUUUGAUAAGGAAAGGGCAAGAAUAUGGCCAAAUAUCUUUCAUCCAGAGGAAAUUAAUUGUCUUGGUCACAUCCAUCAAGAGUUACAUAAUAGUUAUUGCAAUAAAUUUUUUAAAAAUCAGGUACUCAAUUUUUUAAAAGAAAUUCUUAUCAGUUGGGAUCAAUUUAUGAUCUCGUACUCCUUGAUAUUCAGUCGUUAGGACAGCCUCCAUUUCUCCUAUAAAUCACGGUUCUAAAAGGAAGAUGGGUCUCCCCAAGGGAAGCAGAUGGCUUGGUGCCUGGAUGAGUCACACAGCUAAGAAUAUUUGCUUUGUCCAUUCUUUCCCCUAUGACUCCUCACUCUGUGCUGGAUUCCUAAACUCCACAAGGAUGUUCUGACUGAGGAUUCCAUACACUCAUGAAAACUCACAGAGCCGUGCCUGCCACUUUGAAAACUUGUGUGGCACGAAAACAGUGCUUUAAAGAGCAAACCAAAACAGUUUUCCUCGCUAGGAUAUGGGGCAGAGGAGCUGUAUUUUUUGAAACAGACUAGUGGGAAGAAAAAUGCAUUUCUCCAAGGAAAAUUUUCAGGCAGGUUGAUGUCAUUGCAAUCAUAAAAUAGGAUAAAGCAAUGGAUUUGGGAGUUCCCACUGUGCCUCAGUGGGUUAAGAAUCCAACUACUAUCCAUGAGGAUGCAGGUUCAGUCCCUGGCCUCCCUUAAUGGGUUAAGGAUCCCGCAUUGCCACAAGCUGCAGAUGCAACUCAGAUCUGGCAUUGCUGUGACUGUGGUGUAGACCUGUAGCUGCAGCUCCGAUUUGAUCCCUAACCUGGGAACGUCCAUAUGCUACAGGUGCAGCCCUAAAAGGAAAAAGGAGAAAAAAAGAAAGAAAUGGAUUUGAAAUAAAAGACUUCCUCAUCUGGGGAUAAUUAGUGUCUGGGGCAAAAGUUUGCUAAGACCAGGAUUUCAUAUCACUAAGUAGGAAUAAUUACAGGGAAGCAGGAAACAGUCUAAUCGGUGGGCUCUCUGAUUCAAGAUGCGUGUACUAAGCACAGACUGCAUGGAUAGCGCUAUCUUAUAUGCAUCACAGAGUCCAGCAGAAGUAUGUUUUUGACCUGAUAAUAUGAUUAAGGAAAGAAUUGUUUGGUUGAAAAUCAAUUGCACUGGCUACCCACUACCUGGUGAGCUUAAAAUCUGACAUUUUUUUUUUUCCAUUUUCGUUCCUCUCUUGGAAUGACUUUAAAAUGUCAUAUUUUUUCUUAGGCGCAGUAGGGGUUUCAUUUGCAAUAUCAGCAACACAAAAACUUCACAAGAAAUGCUAAAAUGCAUUAAUGGAAUCAGUGGAAAGCUAUGGGCAUAAAUGUGUUCUUCUUCUAAUGGAAUCCCAUUCUCAUUUUCUUUUCUCAACAGUGAGACAAAUGGCAUAAAACCGAGACACUGGCGUUGUUACAUAAUGGGUAAAACAGUCGGGAAAAUGAACUCAUGGGAUGGUACUCUCCAUCCAUUUGAAAGUUAAGUCUAAGGCUGGGAAUUAACUAUGCUUUUUUUGAGAGUUUUCUUUGUAUCACAGUUUUGCAACCUGGACACUAUUGGCGUCUGGGGUCAGAUCAUUCUUGGUGGUGGGGACGGUCCUGCGGGUCAUGGGAUGUUCAGCGGCAUCCCUGGCCAUAUCCGACAGAGGCAGCAGCAGCCCUCAGUGCGACAUCCCAAAUGCCUGUCUCCAGAGGCUGACUGUCCCCUGCUUUAUAAUGAGAACCUCUGCUUUAUUUGGACGCCUAAGAGGCAGAAAAUUGUGUGAGUUGCUUUGGGCUAUGAGAGCAAAUUUUGCAUGCAAUACCUCCCAGUUGCUCUACGUUAAACCAAGAAAUGACAUAGUCCAGGAACUAUAGCAUUACAGAAUGUAUUUUGUUUAUUUUUUUAAUUUUUUAAUGGCGGUAUGGUUGGUCCCAUAUGAUGUAAGUUUCAGGUGUAUAACUUUGUGAUUCACACCUUUGAAAGGUUAUACUCUAUUGAGAGUUAUUAUAAAAUAGCAACUGUAUCCCCUGUGCUGUGCAAUAUUUCUUUGUACCUUAUUUAGUUUCUACAGAGGACUUUGUAUCUCUUAAUCCCCUACCCCUAUCUUGCCCCUCCCUACUAGAAUUUAUAUUUUUAUUGUGAGACUCAAGUUUCUUUUCGCAAGAAAAAGAUGAAAGGCAUUGUGAUGCCUUGGUCCCAGUGUAGCCUCUGCCGCCUGAGUCCCAAGUUCAUGCCUAAAUGCCCUGAGCAAAGACCACCUGGAGCUUCUGCUCCAACUUGUACGCCUGGGAGUGAGUGAUAAUGACUAACUCUGUGCACCCUGGGAACAGAGGAAACCACGAAUGUACUGAUUCUACCACUGGUCUACCUCCUGGGAGGAUGGCAAACUGUUUAUCUUUGGAUUUGCAAGGAAGAGACCACAAAGGGAGCUCUGAACCUGACCCAUCCGCAGCUUUCCAAAGCCUUCAUUUUCCUAUUUAUAAAACGGUUGGGCAUCCUUUUCUCUUGGACUUUUCUUGCCUCAAAAGAUUUGAGCAGGUCUCCGUAGUUUUUAUGGCGCUCCUUGGAGCUUGGUAGGAUAUAGACAUAAAGAACAGUGAACAGUGAGAGGGCAUCGGUCACCUUUUAAUGGCAGGUCAGUCCAGGCUUAGGUUUUAGAUCAGCAUCCAAGUGAACCAUCAGAUGAGAUUUGUACCCUCACGAGAUACAGGAAUUGUCAGGAUGGAUGGUCCUUGCCAGACAUUUCAGGCACAUUUGUCAUGAUGGACUAUGUUCUUUUUCUCUAACUUUGUAUUGUCCCGACCUCCUUCCUCUGCAUUUGUCUCAUUUUCCUACCAUAUCGCAGGGCUUUUUUCCCUCUAAGCUCCUUUACUGGAUCCUCCCUUCUGCAAAAUAUAUGGUUUAGGGUUUACAGGACCCUGUUCUCAGCCCUCCUCUCCUCACCACCCCCCUCCUGUGUGAUCUCAUCCAGUCCCACAAUUUCAAAUGCAAUACAGCCUGCAUCACUCCACUGAGUUUGUCUUUCAUCCAGCUUGAUAACUCCACCUUGAUACAAAUGAACAUCUCAGACUUAACAUGGCCAAGGGACAGCCAUUGAUGUCUAUCUCUCAACCCCCAUCCUCUCUCAAAUCUGCAAGGCAUCCUUCCUUUGCUUCAUACUCAUAUCUAGUUCUUCAAAAUGUAUUCCAGUUCCCUUGUGAUGCAGCAGGUUAAGGAUCCAGCCUUGUCACUGCAGUGGCUCUGGUCCCUGCUGUGGCCAUGGAUUGAAUCCCUGGCCCAGGAACUUCCACAUGCUGCAGGUGCAGCCAAAAAAAAAAAAAAAAAA
RNAcentral lists this long non-coding RNA (3425 nucleotides) under Sus scrofa (pig). RNAcentral's name for it is "lncRNA (ENSSSCG00015038129.1)". Lineage: Eukaryota; Metazoa; Chordata; Mammalia; Artiodactyla; Suidae. The record is from RNAcentral.